UACGGAGGGUGCGAGCGUUGUUCGGAAUUAUUGGGCGUAAAGAGCGUGUAGGCGGGUUGGUAAGUCAGAUGUGAAAGCCCCGGGCUCAACCCGGGAAGUGCAUUUGAAACUGCCUUUCUUGAGUAUGGGAGAGGAGAGUGGAAUUCCCAGUGUAGAGGUGAAAUUCGUAGAUAUUGGGAGGAACACCCGUGGCGAAGGCGACUCUCUGGACCAAUACUGACGCUGAGACGCGAAAGCGUGGGGAGCAAACAGG
This 253-nucleotide ribosomal RNA is filed under the name uncultured bacterium. Its description in RNAcentral is "partial 16S ribosomal RNA". It matches the Rfam family "Bacterial small subunit ribosomal RNA", at positions 524 to 776 of the family's 1533-position model. The record is from RNAcentral.